Molecule: long non-coding RNA, 544 nt
Organism: Corvus hawaiiensis (hawaiian crow)
Lineage: Eukaryota; Metazoa; Chordata; Aves; Passeriformes; Corvidae
Exons: 3
Source: RefSeq, a predicted model, not a curated record
CCCGUUGUUCUCCCACUGGAUCCGCUGCCUCCAGGCGGCGGGGGGCGGCGGGGGAUCCCGGCGCGGCGGCUGCUGCUGGCAGCCGGCGGGCCAGAGGCAGCUCCAGUAGAUGCACGCGUGAAGCUGGGCGAGCAGGAGCCCCGGCGGCGCGAAACGCAUCUUCUCCUCUUUCGUGGGCGCCGGCGGGUUGCCUGAUUACACCAGGUUUUUACAUGAUGGGUCUGAAUAGACCAUCAAAAAGCUCUGUGACCUGAGGUGUGGAGGCAAAGAUUUCUGCAAUACUGAAAAAAGACACAUAAGCAAGUCAGAAGGUGCCUUAAAGGACCCAGGAGACAACGCGGAGGCACCAGGCGCCACCACAGACUCCUGCAGGCACCUACCCUUCCCUUCCACUGCUGGAUCAUGUUCUAAGGCAGCCAAGUGCAUCAGCAACCUAGGCUGUCUUCACAUCCUCUCUCACUCAGUCUUCAGACUCCACAUCACUCACCUCCUCUGUAACAUUCAGAACCAGAUUUCCUUCACAGCAAACUGAGAUACAAACAUC